Molecule: ribosomal RNA, 308 nt
Filed under: uncultured bacterium
Lineage: Bacteria
Description: bacterial SSU rRNA
Rfam family: Bacterial small subunit ribosomal RNA
Source: RNAcentral
GAUAAACGCUGGCGGCGUGCCUAACACAUGCAAGUCGAACGUCCUCUCUCGCAAGAGAGAGGGAGUGGCGGACGGGUGAGUAACACAUGGGUCACCUACCCUUAAGUGAGGAAUACCGGCGAGAAAUCGCCGACAAGACCGCAUAGGCUCUCUCUUUUGCAAGAGAGAGCAAAGCUUCGCAAGAGGCGCUUGAGGAUGGGCCUGUGGCCGAUUAGCUGGUUGGAGGGUAAUGGCUUACCAAGGCGACGAUCGGUAGCUGGUCUGAGAGGACGAUCAGCCACACUGGGAUUGAGAACGGCCCAGACUCC